ACUUUUAGUUCGAGCGAUCCUUCGAACCACUUUCAAGGAGAAACUAUUUUUAUCAUGAUGUAAUGUUAAGGUUUGCGUGUGAGUCCAUUAUCUGUAAUUGUACGAAUAAAACAUUUAUGCGCGAGAGCGUAGCACCACAGUCAAGGCAAACGCAUUUAUAUAGAAGCAAUGAAACAUUUAUGAAACUCAACGUACCGUGUGACGUAUUUAUUGCAUUUCAAGGUAUAUAGAAGGCGUAAUAUUAUACGCGACUUAGACCGGACAAUAAUGCGUUAACGGUAUUUCAAACGUUCCUAUCCAAAUCGAGACAUUUAUACGAAGUGUACGAAACUUUCCGAAAGUCUGUGAAACUCCUUUUGGAAUGAUGAUCGAUCGUAAUUAAAUGAAUAUCUCAUUGAGUAAUCACGAAGAAUAGAUAAAUUUUUCUAUAAAAUAAUAACAAAUGAAAAACAAUUUUGUAAUGAUAUGGUCAUUGAAAAAUUCUUGUAUAUUUUCACGUAAGUUCAUCGUUGUUGGUUUAACUUCUCUUUUCCGGAUAUUUUAUUGGGGUUAAUAUUCAUGAUAAAAUUUGAAUCACAGAGGUACGUUCUUUUAUCCAUUGCGCGAAAAUCCGUCCGAUUUUCGACGCGCUCUUUGAACGAGCACGCGCGCGCGCGCGGACGCACGCACGCGUUACGUAGAAUCCAUUCAUCAACCCUAGCAGCAUCGCAUGUUGCUGUGCGCCCAGCGGGGGUGAGUUAACGCGCAGCAAGGGCGCUGCCCUCUGAACUCCAGGAGAUUCCUCACCGUGCGAGUAAAUCACCCGAUUUCGUCUUCCUCCGUCGAAUUAUCAUUAUUACCUCCGAUUGUAUGUCGGAUUCGUAACCAAAGAACUAUUUGGUGGGAAAGAAGGGAGAAAGAUAGAUAGAGUAAGAAAAUAGAAGAAGACAGUGAGAGGACAGUAACUUGGUAAAUCCAGACCACGGUAGAGAUAUACUGUCUUUCACGACUUUUCGUCUGACGGCUCUUCUUUUAUAUCGCCGGCUGGAUCUUCGAACACCCAAAGGGAUUUUUGGCUUUUCUUCUGAUUCACAAGGAUUCUUCUUCUUGCUUUUUUAUGUCGUAUUAUCCCUCCGUAUGAUCGUCAAGAUCCUUUACUGGAUAAGUAUCCCAGAAGGGAAUGCUUAUCGAUGUCCAGUAUCAAAGCUUCGAUUCGUAAGUAGUUCUUGAUAAUGUCGAACGAUGUGAUAAGAGAAGAAAGGUAAAGAUGAAUAACGAUUUGUCUUCUUCCUUCCUCCUUAUUUUUCCUUAUUUAUACGACACUUUGCUAUUUGCGAUAAAUAUGAACGAUAAUCUAUUUAAUAACGAUAUUAUUUUUUUAUUGCAAAUUACUGAAUAUCAUUGGAAACAUUUUUAUAUCGUUGUAUAAUUAUCCUAAGGAAAUCUAUAAAAUGAAAAUUGAGAAAAAAGGAACUGUAAUAAUUUUUUGCGUAUUUUUUUUUUUUUUUGUUUUUGUUUAUCAUUGAUUAAAAAGACAAAAGAAGAAAGUAAAGAAAGAGAAGAGAGUUAAAGAAGUUGACUCGGGAGGUAACCUUGGAUAACCACGAACACUAAGCGUACGUAGGACAGACAGAUGUAUGGACUAAGAAGAAGAAGAGAGAAUAAGAAAGAGAGGGAAAGAGAGAAAGAGAGAGAGAGAGAGAGAGAGAGAGAGAGAGAGACUGGACCGCUAACAGAGAGGCUGUAUGGCGUCUCUGAUUGCCCAUUGUCCGACUAAUAAGAUAUUCUAUCAUCUCUCGUCGUGCCGUCGGCGCCUGACCGUUUCAAAGGAAAGGAAUCCUACCACAGUCACGUGUUGACCAAUCGAGACGUAGAUUUACCGUAGAUCGACCAAUCCCGUUUGCCGACGUUACUGGUAAUCACCAGCGCCAUCUUCUGUCCCUUCUCUUACUCCUGACCUUCUUUUUAUCCUGUAAAUGAGCUCGGCGUAAGUCAACCGAUAAAUAAUACCCGACUUCGCGACCAGCUGCGAGCUUUAAAAUUGCCUGUGUAAAAGUGUAAUGGGGCCUUAAUUGAACCCACCCAGGACAUCCACUAACGUUCUUCGCAUUCAUUGUCUAUUUAUAUACGUGCCCGACGUUUUACACUCUUCCAUCUCUCUGGAGAUCAUACGGACGACAGACGCGCAUGGUCGACAUUAUAAUAGGAUAGACCAUACGGAACGAGAGACCAGGGACUGUGGAACAACUUCUGGGAGCCCCGGAAGGAACGCGAUUUCGUAAAAGGAAGAAUUUCAUUCCUACGAAUGUGAGGAAAAAAAAAAAAGAAAGGAAGGAAGAAAGGAAAGAAAGAAAGGGAAGAAAGGGAGAAAAAGCAUGCUGGUGUCCGUAAAAUUUAUUAAAACCACAAACAGCGAAAACGCAGCCUGAUUUCUAAAGCGUUCUGUAUUUUUCCAAUUCUGGCUGGUGCAUGCGGUUAAUUACCUACAUCUACCGGACGGAACGAGAUGGCAGUGUAGUGGAUGAUGUUGGAGUGGGGGAAGGAGAUGGAAGAAGAGAGAAAAGCGUUACACUAGGAAAUAUUUCGAAACGUCGGCUGAUCACGUCCGUAGUCGCGGACGCGCGCACGCUACCUCGCGUUUGCACGAGAAAACUUCGAAAUUAUUCUCGAUUAUUCAAAUUCGCAACCCUUGCCGCGAGCUGUAUGAGGGCCGAUUCAAAUUUAUGCAAAAGUCCGGCAACGCGAAUCUCCGUUCUUAUUAAUAUGGAUCAAUUUGACGUUCCUCCUCUUGCCUUUUUCCCCUCUUACCGUUGGCCCUCACGUACGGCACUUCUCUUACUCUUUCUGCUUCCUUUUUUUCUCAUGGUAUAGCACCUUCUCAAAUUGGACCACCUAACAGUCGAAGAAAUGCUUGUACAAACGAUUCUCUUUCUUUCUCUCUUUUUCUCUAUCUCUCCUUAUUAUCCUGAUUUCUAUGAUUUCUUCAAAUUCCUUUGGAUAAAACAUGAUGUAGAUAUUACUAAAUUGUUGAUUUACCAAAUCAUUCAUAUAAUUUGUAAAAGUAUGAAUAGUACGAUAAUGCCCUUUUUGCCCUAUUCAAAUUUAUUAAAAAUAAUCAUUUUGAUAAUGUAGAUGCAUACAUUGUACAAUGCGAUACGAAAUGCCCAUUUGACCUUAUCCCAGCGAUGUCUUCGACAAGUUCAAUUGCCAUCUUGUUCAAACCAUCAAAAAGAUUGUAAGGAAAGAAAUAGAAAGAAUAGUGCUCGAGAAAGAAUAGUGCUUAGUCUAUCCACAUCUCGUACUAGGUAACUGUUUGGUCUAACAAGGAAACUUCUCGUAGCUUGAAAUGAUGAUCAUUCGACAGAUCAAGUUUGAUCAUUUGCGUAAUGUUGACAUACAAAUCUAUGGUUUCAAUUAAAUUAAAAAUUGUUAAAUAAAUAUUGACUAUUUGUCAUUAUAAAUUAUCGAAACGAGAUUCAUAACGUAAUCAGACUUAACAGAUUAAAUUGUCAAGAAUAGUUAAGAAAAGUAAAUAAAUAAUCAUCUUCGAAGUUUAAACCAAGAACAAAGGUUACUUUCACGAUUAUGAGGAAUAAAGGUAAAAUCACGUGAUAGAGACGGAUCAGUAGCCUCUUUCGAACGUGAACCAACCAGCGGUUUAAACCUUUCGCUACGGUCGUGGCACACACAGUAGAGAGUUUGCUGCACGCAAAUGAAGAAUUGUCAGCCAAAUACGGUUCGAGGGUGGUAAGGGGUGUCAGUAGGGGAUGAAUGGAGCGUAAUACCGGGUCUACCCUGAUUGUUGCCCUCCCUUUACCUUUCUCCCACAACCUCUCGAACCCAUCGGAAUUUCCAGUACGAAUUUCCGCCGGUGACUGCGACGUCACUUCCGUCCCAGAGACAAGCAGAAUCGUAUCCUUUCUCUAACUCGUUCCCGUUUAACCUUCCCACACUCUCUUGCCUUUUCCCACACACCAAAAUGAUCGUGUGCGAUUCUACAAAGUUCUACUUGAUCAUCAUGUUCAAGUGGAUCUUCAAAUUUUAUCUUGCGUAAUAUGAAUCUUUUCUUUCCUUCUACGAAAAAUUUAUUACUAUAACUACAAUUUUCUAUGUCAUUCAAAUGACCAGAUAUGUUCUUUCUCUUUUUUCCUCUUCCAAAGUUAACGCAUACUUAUCUACCCUUUUUCAAUGUUUCCUUAUUAAUCAACAAUGUGCUUUUGUCAUCAUUAUAAUUCCAACUUCAUGGUGUAAUUUGUCCUCAUAUAUUUAAAAAAAAAAAAAAAAAGCAAAAAAAAAAGAGUUUACGCAUCGAUAUUGCUAAAACUUUUUAUUGCAAUUUUUUAAACAAGGUUUUUGCAGUCAUAAAACUCAUUUGAAUGCAUAUUAAAAUGUGCAGUUGUUCACUCGGUAUUGGUUACAUACAAAUUUUUCGAGAUACUGAAUUUUCAAAAAUGGAUCUGUAAAGUAAAAUUAUUUUAUAAAUAGUUGAGAAAUUACCCAAGUCGCUUACUUUUUCUAUAGAAAAUUAUAUAGGCUUUCUAGUUUUUAAAGAAAAAAAUUUGAUUUUUCAUUCUUAGGUGGAACACAGAAAAGAAGUAGAGAGAGAGAGAAUGAGAGAAUGAGAGGAACCAUAAGGAUCUACCCCUUUAUAGCAGACGUAAAUAAUAUAGUUGAAAAGGUAAAUAUAAUUACCUAACCGUGUAUGUAACGUGCUUGUAAGCGACGCUUUUGAAAGGCGCUACCCCCGUCAACGUAUUCAAUGGCACAGCGCGCCUGCUUGAAUUAAGAUUUCAGUAGCUCCAUUGCAUAAGAUUGCUCCGUAGGUUCAUAUAAUCUAACUUAGACUAUGCCACAAUGUCCUUCGUUUUUUAAAUCUACCAAAGCACAGUAAGGAUACGCGUAUACGGAUAUUUUCCAUUAAUCGUCGAUUUGAUAUCAACGUUGUAAAAUUGUAUUCCUAAUGAAAAAUAAAUAAUCAAAAAAUAGAAAAUAUUUGAUUUGUUCAUCAAUGAAUAAAAAAUAUUUUCUAAUUGAACAAGUAAAUACGUUUGAAGUGCAAAAAG
Vespa velutina is the source of this 5042-nucleotide long non-coding RNA. RefSeq lists it as uncharacterized. The record is from RefSeq and is a predicted model, not a curated record. The transcript has 3 exons. Lineage: Eukaryota; Metazoa; Arthropoda; Insecta; Hymenoptera; Vespidae.